AGUCGUAACAAGGUCUCCGUUGGUGAACCAGCGGAGGGAUCAUUACCGAGUUUACAACUCCCAAACCCCUGUGAACAUACCAUUUGUUGCCUCGGCGGUGCCUGCUUCGGCAGCCCGCCAGAGGACCCAAACCCUUGAUUUUAUACAGUAUCUUCUGAGUAAAUGAUUAAAUAAAUCAAAACUUUCAACAACGGAUCUCUUGGUUCUGGCAUCGAUGAAGAACGCAGCGAAAUGCGAUAAGUAAUGUGAAUUGCAGAAUUCAGUGAAUCAUCGAAUCUUUGAACGCACAUUGCGCCCGCCAGUAUUCUGGCGGGCAUGCCUGUUCGAGCGUCAUUUCAACCCUCAAGCCCCCGGGCUUGGUGUUGGAGAUCGGCGUGCCCCCCCGGGGCGCGCCGGCUCCCAAAUAUAGUGGCGGUCUCGCUGUAGCUUCCUCUGCGUAGUAGCACACCUCGCACUGGAAAACAGCGUGGCCACGCCGUUAAACCCCCCACUUCUGAAAGGUUGACCUCGGAUCAGGUAGGAAUACCCGCUGAACCUAAGCAUAUCA
RNAcentral lists this unclassified non-coding RNA (547 nucleotides) under Ilyonectria rufa. RNAcentral's name for it is "sequence contains 18S rRNA gene, ITS1, 5.8S rRNA gene, ITS2, 28S rRNA gene". The stretch from base 180 to 333 matches the Rfam family "5.8S ribosomal RNA". The record is from RNAcentral. Lineage: Eukaryota; Fungi; Ascomycota; Sordariomycetes; Hypocreales; Nectriaceae.